This 261-nucleotide long non-coding RNA is filed under the name Capsicum annuum. Its description in RNAcentral is "long non-coding RNA (CANN_LNC015461)". Lineage: Eukaryota; Viridiplantae; Streptophyta; Magnoliopsida; Solanales; Solanaceae. The record is from RNAcentral.
CUGCCUUGAGUGUGGGCCUCUGCGGAACUGUAGGCCUUAAUGGGUUUGCGGAUGCUGGAGAGUCAAAUGGUCUAGCCAUUUUUUGUUGUUCUGUUUUGGGGUUAUUGCCCAGAUUUGUUGGUCUCAUGGCCCUGUAAAAAUUCUCUUAUUAGAAAAUCGGGAAGGGAGUUAUUUUCUCCUUUAAUAAAUUCAAUUUGAAAAUCAAAGCUAGAUAGGAGAGCUUGCCAUCUAGCAAAUAUUUGUUUAGAAACAAGAUUUUUA